GAGUGAUGAAGGUUUUCGGAUCGUAAAGCUCUGUUGUUAGGGAAGAACAAGUGCGAGAGUAACUGCUCGCACCUUGACGGUACCUAACCAGAAAGCCACGGCUAACUACGUGCCAGCAGCCGCGGUAAUACGUAGGUGGCAAGCGUUGUCCGGAAUUAUUGGGCGUAAAGGGCUCGCAGGCGGUUUCUUAAGUCUGAUGUGAAAGCCCCCGGCUCAACCGGGGAGGGUCAUUGGAAACUGGGAAACUUGAGUGCAGAAGAGGAGAGUGGAAUUCCACGUGUAGCGGUGAAAUGCGUAGAGAUGUGGAGGAACACCAGUGGCGAAGGCGACUCUCUGGUCUGUAACUGACGCUGAGGAGCGAAAGCGUGGGGAGCGAACAGGAUUAGAUACCCUGGUAGUCCACGCCGUAAACGAUGAGUGCUAAGUGUUAGGGGGUUUCCGCCCCUUAGUGCUGCAGCUAACGCAUUAAGCACUCCGCCUGGGGAGUACGGUCGCAAGACUGAAACUCAAAGGAAUUGACGGGGGCCCGCACAAGCGGUGGAGCAUGUGGUUUAAUUCGAAGCAACGCGAAGAACCUUACCAGGUCUUGACAUCCUCUGACAACCCUAGAGAUAGGGCUUUCCCUUCGGGGACAGAGUGACAGGUGGUGCAUGGUUGUCGUCAGCUCGUGUCGUGAGAUGUUGGGUUAAGUCCCGCAACGAGCGCAACCCUUGAUCUUAGUUGCCAGCAUUCAGUUGGGCACUCUAAGGUGACUGCCGGUGACAAACCGGAGGAAGGUGGGGGAUGACGUCAAAUCAUCAUGCCCCUUAUGACCUGGGCUACACACGUGCUACAAUGGACAGAACAAAGGGCUGCAAGACCGCAAGGUUUAGCCAAUCCCAUAAAUCUGUUCUCAGUUCGAAUCGCAAUCUGCAACUCGACUGCGUGAAACUGGAAUCGCUAGUAAUCUCGGAUCAACAUGCCGCGGUGAAUAC
RNAcentral lists this ribosomal RNA (974 nucleotides) under Bacillus safensis. Its description in RNAcentral is "bacterial SSU rRNA". It matches the Rfam family "Bacterial small subunit ribosomal RNA", at positions 401 to 1369 of the family's 1533-position model. The record is from RNAcentral. Lineage: Bacteria; Bacillati; Bacillota; Bacilli; Caryophanales; Bacillaceae.